CGAGGACUUAUCAGAGAUGCAUUGGUGCCUUCGGGAACUCUGAGACAGGUGCUGCAUGGCUGUCGUCAGCUCGUGUUGUGAAAUGUUGGGUUAAGUCCCGCAACGAGCGCAACCCUUAUCCUUUGUUGCCAGCGGUCCGGCCGGGAACUCAAAGGAGACUGCCAGUGAUAAACUGGAGGAAGGUGGGGAUGACGUCAAGUCAUCAUGGCCCUUACGAGUAGGGCUACACACGUGCUACAAUGGCGCAUACAAAGAGAAGCGACCUCGCGAGAGCAAGCGGACCUCAUAAAGUGCGUCGUAGUCCGGAUUGGAGUCUGCAACUCGACUCCAUGAAGUCGGAAUCGCUAGUAAUCGUGGAUCAGAAUGCCACGGUGAAUACGUUCCCGGGUCUUGUUACACACCGA
RNAcentral lists this ribosomal RNA (404 nucleotides) under uncultured bacterium. RNAcentral's name for it is "bacterial SSU rRNA". It matches the Rfam family "Bacterial small subunit ribosomal RNA", at positions 990 to 1393 of the family's 1533-position model. The record is from RNAcentral.